RNAcentral lists this long non-coding RNA (457 nucleotides) under Triticum aestivum (bread wheat). RNAcentral describes it as "long non-coding RNA (TAES_LNC017251)". Lineage: Eukaryota; Viridiplantae; Streptophyta; Magnoliopsida; Poales; Poaceae. The record is from RNAcentral.
CAAGAUCUCCCAGGAGGAGUACCUCAACGCCCCAGGCGAGACCUUCUCAGUCACGCUCACCGUCCCCGGCACCUACGGCUUCUACUGCGAGCCGCACGCCGGGGCCGGCAUGGUCGGAAAGGUCACCGUCAACUAAGCUAUCUUCUAGUAGCUCCCUGUCCUGUCCUUGAGAAUUUGGGUCCAUUGUUGAUCGGUCAGACCGGAGGUGUGUCAUGCAUGCAUAUUGAUUAAUUGUACGAACGUACGCUAUAUGUAUAUGUUUUCUAUAAGAUGAGAUGAGGCUCUUGAUGAUAAGUAAUCCUUCUUCUUAGCUUUGAUUUGUAUGCUUAAUUAUUUUUUCAAUUUGUUGUCGAAAAUUAGCCGCGGUGGCACGCGAUUAGUAUGCCGGUGUUAUGGCAAUUAAUACUUGUCAUGUUCUCGUUACUCAUCCUUCAUGUUUUCUCUGAUAUACGAUGUG